GAUUUGCAGUCCCCCGCCUUACCACUCGGCCAUGCCGCCAAAAUGAUACAAAAUAGAAUAGAUGCAAUUUU
This 71-nucleotide transfer RNA is filed under the name Clerodendranthus spicatus. RNAcentral describes it as "tRNA-Cys". The record is from RNAcentral. Lineage: Eukaryota; Viridiplantae; Streptophyta; Magnoliopsida; Lamiales; Lamiaceae.